GCCGGAGUGGCGGAAUUGGCAGACGCACCAGACUCAAAAUCUGGCGAGGGGUGACUCUCGUGGGGGUUCGACUCCCCCCUCCGGCACCA
Molecule: transfer RNA, 89 nt
Filed under: Acidobacteriota bacterium
Lineage: Bacteria; Pseudomonadati; Acidobacteriota
Also listed under: 1 other name
Description: tRNA-Leu
Rfam family: tRNA
About the family: Transfer RNA (tRNA) molecules are approximately 80 nucleotides in length. Their secondary structure includes four short double-helical elements and three loops (D, anti-codon, and T loops).
Source: RNAcentral